This is a long non-coding RNA of Cucurbita maxima (winter squash), 404 nucleotides long. RefSeq lists it as uncharacterized. Lineage: Eukaryota; Viridiplantae; Streptophyta; Magnoliopsida; Cucurbitales; Cucurbitaceae. The transcript has 2 exons. The record is from RefSeq and is a predicted model, not a curated record.
UUCAACGUAGUUUUAAAUUUGCUUCAGAAAACGUUGCCAUUUGUGUCGUUGUGUUCAAGUUAGUUUACUUUUGACGCUCGUAUUCGCGGCAUGAAGAAUUUAGGAAGCGAUUCAUGAAAGCUGCAAUUCGUUUCUUAGCUUGGUGCGAGCUAGGUUUGGCGGUUUCUGCUAUUUGAAGUAAAAUUCGAAAGAUGGAGUUGGAUUUUUUUGACAUUGUCGUUUACUUGACUAAGGAAUGAAGGAAGGUUCGUAAAUUCUGAACCAUCCUAGUAGCAGGCAAUUCAAGUAUUAUCGAGCAUACUUAAUCGUAGAAUGGCAGAAACAAUAUCUAGUUUCUGGGGUCCUGUUACAUCUCCUGAAUGGUGUGAAAAGAACUAUGUCUACUCUUCUUAUAUUGCAGAAUU